UAGGACUGCCCUCCCUUCUACUUCACGAACGUAGACAGUUUUACCUUUCACAUCCCUCAGGGGAUGCACUAUAGAAUAGACUGAGUUUUGCAGUCUCUUAUGACUAUUUGUUUCUUUUUAAGCAGGUAAGAAGAGCCCACCUGCUGAGGACACGGUAGUGCUAACACAUAUGAAGAUACUGAGCAAUGAAGGAAUUCAAAAUCCAGGGUUAAUACCCGAGCCUCCAGCUGACACAGAUUGCACAGAAAAAUCCCAUCUUCCUGGUGUCAAUCUCCCACUGGACUGCCAGGGAAAUCUGAAGGCAACAGCCACACCAGCAAAUCCAGAUUAUGCAGAAACGCCGGCGAGCACUGACUACAUAGCCACACUGCCUGACCUCAGCACCUUUGAGUCCAAAUGCCGACUUCACAGAUUUUCCAAAUUUGAGUCUGAGGACUCAGGGGUUGAAUUGCCUAGUGGGGCUAACUCUCCAUCUACGCCGACAGGUUCGGAGAAGAGCUUUGUGCUUCACAGCAGAGACUCGUUUUGUGACUCCGGGGUGCUUAGCACCUCUUCCUCUCCAGAAAUUGACCAUCUGAUAAUGAGAACAUGUAAAGAGCGGGCCAGAAAAGCUAGCCAUGGCCCAGAGAGUGAAAAGCAAGCUGAGUACUACAGCCAGGAGGUAGAUGCUGUGCAGGUUCCUACAGCUUCCCUUGAAGACUUCAGUAUCCCUCAGGAAGGACAAAGUCCCAAACAACAUUUUGACCAAAGUGAAAUGCAAUCUCUGGAAAAGCAACCUACCCAAGAGAUGGACCUUCCUAGGGAAAACACACUUCCCACUCCAGCUCCUGUAGAAGAGCCAAAGACCAUUGCUGACCAUUACCCAGAGACCUUUGGCAGCGUGCAAGACCUUCAGAUCCAUGAACAUCAGCUGAAGAAGUACCCCACAAGUGACAGUCUGGAUGAAUAUAUGGACGAAUGCUGUAGACUGAGCGAGGUGAACCAAGGGAGCAACAAAGUCCUGGGAUCUGGCCUGGGAUAUCUGGAACACAUUUGCCAACUGAUUGAGAAGAUUGGGCAGCUACAGGAGCACAACUUGCGGCUCCAAAAGCAAGUGUGCAGCUUACAAAAAGAGCAGAAGAUGAGCCAGAUAAAGGAGGAGUACCUUCUGCAGCAUUGCUCUUGUGGAGCUGCCAGCGUCUUCCUCAACUCAUACCAAGAGGUGAAAACGUUUUUUACUGGGAGGAGCAGACCUCACAGCCUCUUGGUUCAGACUGGAAACCCUUCAGAUCUUUCCAUCAUCCCAGAAAUAGGAGCGAACACUGAAAAGCUGAGCAGCUGCAGUGGAAGUGAGAGAUACCCAGAAUCAGGAAACAGCCAGCUGAUGAUGGGGCUCAGGAAAUCAUUGAACAAUAGGAGCAACAAGGAGAAUGAGUUCAGAGAAGCCUGUGGCGUGGCUGAGGGACAAGCUUUUCCAUCAAAGGACCCUGCAGUAAGAAAGGGUCUGGACAUCAGUAAGAACAUCUCGGGUGAAAGCCAUGCCUGGGGGAGAAUGAGAGAUCUUAUGAGGAAGACACGGCUGAGAAACCAGAGCAAGCUGGGGCUGUCCUCUGCUGCUCUGAAGAGGUCCUGCCCACAGCUGUACAGGCCAGAUAUUAUGUCUUCAGAGCUGAGGAAAACCGAGAGGAACUCCAUGAUUGUUCUGGGGCAAAAUACAAAGAAUGAGAACAUAUGGCCUUUCUGAUAACCCAAAUGGAACAAGAAAGGAAAGAGGGGAACAUCAAUGGACACAGAACUGAAAAUCCCAGGGUUACUUUGUGCAACUUGCAUACUACAGCUGUCAACAGAGGAACUCUGAUUUGGUGUUGAAAGAGGGAGCAGAGAGAUUGAGAGAGGUGUGUGGAGAGAUGUGUGCUCAGCUAUGCCUGGCUUCACUCCCAACUCUGAAUUAUGCUUACAAAACCAAACCCCAUGAAAACCAUAGCCAGCAUCUCAGCAACGUAACCAAUAGGGACUUUUAAAUAAGAUUUGGUAAAUCUUUUUCUGCUCUGGGUUAGGAACAGAAUCACCUGAAGUACUGAAGCUUUUAAGUUAUCAUUGCUUUCUGGGGACCUUCUCCAGGUGAAGGAAGCUAAGCCUUACAGAAGACAACAGUACCUGGAAAAGUGCCAGACUCCUUGUCCAGGGCAGCAAUAGUUGAUGGGGAGAAUAGCUUCCGCCCUCUAGGGAGGUAGGUGCCAGCAGAGACUGCAGCUCAAACAAGAGCUGCACCCAGCCAGCAAUACAGGCUUGGUGGCAUCCAAAAGAAGAACCAAGUCUGUGAAGCAAAGAUAUCCUAAAAGGCUGUUCCCAAAUCUACCCUUCACUUCUAAUUCUGUGGGGGAGCUCCUUCUGUGAAGGCCUCUUUACUUUGGUGCUGCCCCAUGCAAAAACCAGCUUCCAUGCAGGCUCACUGCAGUGAGCAGAGCAAGGGGUACCCCAGGAAUCAAUCUUUUGAGAGACCUGAGUGAGGGUGCAUUGAAGACAGCACCUCAGCUGCACUGGGCAGCCCAGCUCUCUGCCCUGUUAAUCUUUAAGGGGACAAGGCUUGAAUUUCCACUUUUAAGUUAUAAGUUAAGGACCCCUGGAGGCUGCAGUGGCCAUCUGACGAACACGCUGGACCUAAAAAAAGGAAAGAGUACAGGGGAGAGCAGGGCUGCAAGGAAGAGUCAUUCAACUAUACGUAUGCUUUCUCUUCCCUCUUAAGGGCUAUUCUUUUGGGUCCUAACUUCUUUAUAACACUAGGGCCAUGUUUGGUGGCUACCUUAUUGCCCUGUGUUCACUAAUUUCAGACUCGGGCUACAGGGAGCGUGUCCUUCUAAAGGUCCCAUUGCUGCUCCGGUCUCUGCACACUAGCUCUUACUGAUUCUAGCAUUCAUGCACAUGGAGUAAGAGUUUAGAUAAACUAUCUUUACUUCUUGUUACAAGGCUAUUCUACCCAUUAAAUUAUAAUUGUAAAAAAAAAAAAAGUCACAUAACUGCAGUUUAACCCCUCCCAUUCCCUACCCAUCCUUACUUGCUUGAGAACAGGUUUGAGAAGCCAGCAGGAACAGGCCAGCUUUAGCAGGCUCAGCCUUUGAGUAACAGAUGCUUCCCCUAUGCUGACCCAGAUCAGCUGAAGCCCACAAAACAAGAGAACAGGAUCUGAAAUUCAGAAUAUCCCAACCCAGGAAGGUUGGUUUGAUCUCAGUUCUAGGACCAAGCAGUGUGAGGUGAAGGCUACUCUUAAUUGGAAGGACAGGCCACACUCUGACAGCAUGGCUGUAGUUUGUGAGAAUGACUGGAGGCAGCCCAGGCCUGUUUCUGAGUGCUCAGAAUGCUUUCAGGGAAGUUCAAUAUUACUGUUGUUACUUAACAACAAAAAGCAAAAGUUUGUGCUGACUGAGUUAACACCUUGAAGUAAGUGCUGUGUUCAAUAUUUCAGUUGUCAUUAGUUUUAGCUGCUGCAGGACUCAGUUAUUCACUGUAUAUCUUCCUAGCUUCAUCAAAAGCUAGAAAGAUUUAUAACUUGAUUAUUCUGUGAAUAGUCAGCAUAUCUCCAUGAACAGAGGGGGCAAAAAAUCCUAUACUAUCUUAUACCCUCCAUUAUCCUAUACCCUCCAUUAUCCUUCCAGCUUUACAGAGACUAUAAGGAAUGUGAAUCAGUGCAGAACUGGACUUAAAGUAUUAAGACUAGCAUCAUAAACUGGUAUUUUUUUUAUAACUACAUUCCCAUUAUAUAAUUAUUUUUAAACUAGAAUGAACUAGCAUUUUUUACCACAGCAUUAUAUGAAAUAUAUUCAUGUAUUUCCAGAAAUAUAUUUAUACUAUGUAACAUACUGUAUAGUUCUCUACUCCAGGAUGCAUUGUAAUACAAGCAUAAAAUUUAAUAAAACAUCACUAUUAUGAAAUAAAUUUGCUUCA
This is a long non-coding RNA of Struthio camelus australis, 3921 nucleotides long. Ensembl lists it as uncharacterized. Lineage: Eukaryota; Metazoa; Chordata; Aves; Struthioniformes; Struthionidae. The record is from Ensembl.